CAAAAGGUCGACGGCUGGCUCUCGUCGGGAAAGGACUUACGACCUCAGUGACCUCCAAUCAGGGACUGCGAUCUGAAGGUCGAGGUCCUCAACGAUGAACUUCCCGUGAAGGUACCUACCAAUACGCCCAUAGAUGGAGCACCGUCAGCAUGUCAAAUCUCCGAGGACGACAUGAUAUUCCUGAUGCGAAAGGUCAACUUCAACGAUUUCUUUGACGUAUCCAUGGAAACUGAUUCAUCAUUGAUCUCCCGUGAUGGAUACCAGGCCGGUGAUAUUCUGUUUUAUCUAACGGAAAGAGAAAGUGUUGUUGCUACGAGGAGUGCAUCGAUCUCACCUACUGUGGAUCCAUUACAUGGUGAAAUACUGGUCGACUGGCUUAUAGAUGUACAAGU
Long non-coding RNA from Strongylocentrotus purpuratus (purple sea urchin), 392 nucleotides. RefSeq lists it as uncharacterized. NCBI's taxonomy places the organism in Eukaryota, Metazoa, Echinodermata, Echinoidea, Camarodonta, Strongylocentrotidae. The record is from RefSeq and is a predicted model, not a curated record. The transcript is spliced from 3 exons.